GAUGAACGCUGGCGGCGUGCUUAACACAUGCAAGUCGAACGAAGCACUUUAACCUGAUUCUUCGGAUGAAGGUUUUUGUGACUGAGUGGCGGACGGGUGAGUAACGCGUGGGUAACCUGCCUCAUACAGGGGGAUAACAGUUAGAAAUGACUGCUAAUACCGCAUAAGACCACAGAGCCGCAUGGCUCGGUGGGAAAAACUCCGGUGGUAUGAGAUGGACCCGCGUCUGAUUAGGUAGUUGGUGGGGUAACGGCCUACCAAGCCAACGAUCAGUAGCCGACCUGAGAGGGUGACCGGCCACAUUGGGACUGAGACACGGCCCAAACUCCUACGGGGGGCAGCAGUGGGGAAUAUUGCACAAUGGGGGAAACCCUGAUGCAGCGACGCCGCGUGAGCGAAGAAGUAUUUCGGUAUGUAAAGCUCUAUCAGCAGGGAAGAAAAUGACGGUACCUGACUAAGAAGCACCGGCUAAAUACGUG
Molecule: ribosomal RNA, 479 nt
Filed under: uncultured bacterium
Lineage: Bacteria
Description: partial 16S ribosomal RNA
Rfam family: Bacterial small subunit ribosomal RNA
Source: RNAcentral